UACGUAGGGGGCAAGCGUUAUCCGGAUUUACUGGGUGUAAAGGGAGCGUAGGCGGCGAUGCAAGCCAGAUGUGAAAGCCCGGGGCUCAACCCCGGGACUGCAUUUGGAACUGUAUAGCUAGAGUGUCGGAGAGGCAGGCGGAAUUCCUAGUGUAGCGGUGAAAUGCGUAGAUAUUAGGAGGAACACCAGUGGCGAAGGCGGCCUGCUGGACGAUGACUGACGUUGAGGCUCGAAAGCGUGGGGAGCAAACAGG
RNAcentral lists this ribosomal RNA (253 nucleotides) under uncultured bacterium. RNAcentral's name for it is "partial 16S ribosomal RNA". It matches the Rfam family "Bacterial small subunit ribosomal RNA", at positions 524 to 776 of the family's 1533-position model. The record is from RNAcentral.